RNAcentral lists this ribosomal RNA (119 nucleotides) under Pteropus alecto (black flying fox). Lineage: Eukaryota; Metazoa; Chordata; Mammalia; Chiroptera; Pteropodidae. The record is from RNAcentral.
GUCUACAGCCAUGCUACCCUGAACAAGCCCUAUCCCUUCUAAUCUUGGAUGCUAAGCAGGGUAGGGCCUGGUUAGUACUUGGAUGGGAGAUAACCUAGGAAGACCAAGUGCUGUAGGCA